This 74-nucleotide transfer RNA is filed under the name Verrucomicrobia bacterium GWF2_51_19. RNAcentral's name for it is "tRNA-Gln". It matches the Rfam family "tRNA". Rfam says of the family: Transfer RNA (tRNA) molecules are approximately 80 nucleotides in length. Their secondary structure includes four short double-helical elements and three loops (D, anti-codon, and T loops). Further hydrogen bonds mediate the characteristic L-shaped molecular structure. tRNAs have two regions of fundamental functional importance: the anti-codon, which is responsible for specific mRNA codon recognition, and the 3' end, to which the tRNAs corresponding amino acid is attached (by aminoacyl-tRNA synthetases). tRNAs cope with the degeneracy of the genetic code in two manners: having more than one tRNA (with a specific anti-codon) for a particular amino acid; and 'wobble' base-pairing, i.e. permitting non-standard base-pairing at the 3rd anti-codon position. Lineage: Bacteria; Pseudomonadati; Verrucomicrobiota. The record is from RNAcentral. RNAcentral also lists the same sequence under 1 other name.
UGCCUGGUGGUGUAAUGGUAGCACAACUGACUCUGACUCAGUUUGUCAAGGUUCGAGUCCUUGCCGGGCAGCCA